CUGGACCAAAGUGCCCCUAUAGGAAGAACCAGACGAGCCAGUGCACAUGGCUUUAAAAUUGGAAACGGUGAUGGGGACAAGAUUGCCGUAGAGGCCGAGGACGAGGCGGCCGAUGGGCUCGGAGUCGGAGCAGAGGGAGAGCUCGUCACCGAGAGUCCGAUUUUGGAAGAAAGAUGGACAGGUGCUGAAUUCCAUGAAGAUUCUGUCGGUGACGGUGGUGUCCGGUGAUAGUGGUGGGGCCGCGAUGGAGGAGAGCGGGAAGAGGGUGGUGGUGGAUAGGAAGAGGAGGGAGCGGCGCGUGAGCUGAACGUUUGAAUUGGGAUUGAGUUUAGGGGUGUUGUGGUGGUGGGGUAGGAGAGGUGAAGGAAGGAGGGUGGCGGUGCAGCCCAUGAUGACGGUGGUGCAUGGUGGAGAGAUAGAAGCAGAGUAAAUGAGGUGAGAGAAAGAGGAGGGACGUGGAUGUGUGAACAUCAGAGAACUCACUGAGGUAAGUGGACUAGCACCAGCUUGUGAUGAUCUAUCUGAUUGGAAGAACUUUUGUGAUAUUUCUUCUCUAAAAAUC
RNAcentral lists this long non-coding RNA (562 nucleotides) under Panax ginseng (ginseng). RNAcentral describes it as "long non-coding RNA (PGIN_LNC016785)". Lineage: Eukaryota; Viridiplantae; Streptophyta; Magnoliopsida; Apiales; Araliaceae. The record is from RNAcentral.